UGACCUGAUCUCAGUUUUUUAAUCCCCUCUCUCUGUAAGGCUUUCUGAUACCAGCUCUUGCACUGAGCCUUCUUGUGAGGGUCUGACAGUCUCUCCGCCUGUUCUUUGCUGAACAGAAUUGCUCUGUUACGUGGACGUCUCUCUGCAUCCUGCUUUUCUGGGAGAUUCACAAAGCAAAGCAGCUGCUGACUUGAAGAGGAAACUCUGUAGCUGGUUGAUGUUUGUUSCUUCUCCUCUCUCUUGUAUGGGAAAUCUUCUAGGAUGAUUUUUUUUCUGCUGCGAUCUUGCCGGUGUCUGUAAAAGGAAACUAGGAGGGAAGCUGCCUUACCCAAAGAGCUGCAACAGGUCGAGCACACAGCCAGGAUUUCCAGUCCACUGAACCACGCUGCAUAGCAGGGCUCCRCUAUGAGCAUGUUGCAUAAAGUGGCACAGAUAAUAGCUGCAGUUUACAGAAGAAAGCAAUUAUAUUGUAAACAAGUAUUUUGGGGAGGA
Molecule: long non-coding RNA, 492 nt
Filed under: Dromaius novaehollandiae (emu)
Lineage: Eukaryota; Metazoa; Chordata; Aves; Casuariiformes; Dromaiidae
Description: lncRNA (ENSDNVG00000001431.1)
Source: RNAcentral